UAACAGUACAUAAUACUGUCAUUUUGUGGAAAUACAAUGCUUUAUCACAAAUACCAUGAUAUGGCAAAAAUACUAUGAUUCAGCAGAAAUACUAUGAUUGAGCAGAAGUACUAAGAUGUAGUAAAAGUACUUUGAUUUAACAGAAAUGCAAUUAUGGAGGAGUAAUACUUUGAAAUGGGAAAAAUAUUGAUACACACACAGAUACACAGAGCCUAAAGGGAACAGUAUUUGUGCCAUGGAGUGUUAAGAAGAAUCUGAGGUCCAUAUUAGAAAAGCUGCUAAAAUCAUAAAAGUUUGCAGAAUUGUAAUAAAUGAUGAAUAUGAAUUACUUGUCUGUGAUAGUGUAUUAAUUUCUAGGGGAAAAAAAAAUGUUAAUCAAGGUGGAAUUGAACCCGUGAUCUUUAGACUGCCGACCGGCGUCAUUACCAACUGUGCCACUGGGAAACAGAGCAGCGGUUUGGAAAACGGGGAGAUGAACUGUCAGAUUUAGAUCGCGGUGAGAGGCGUAAAACGCUGAUUUUUGGAGUUACAAAACGUCAUGUAACUCCAAAACUAGGUGGGAUAGAAGCACAAUUCUUGUACUGGGUGAAUCAGCAGACUUUGCUGAACUUUCACUGCGAUUUUCAUUGCUCCUUUUACCUCCGUCACGGAGAUAUGACGAGAGAAGAAAGGGCAGACCUCAGAUAUGAUUGGCUGGCUGGGAAGCCGUGCAGGCCCUGAUAUGUAUUUGUAUGUAUCAGUCCUCACAGAGGAUUAGCUGCCUGGGGACCUGGCAGAAAUAUAUAGAAAUAGUAUGAUUAAGCAUAAAUACUACAUUUUUUAGAAAAACUAUAUUAAGCACAAAUCCUAUAAAAAGCAGAAAUAAUAUAUUAAGCAAUAUAAAUAUCCUCUAAAAAUCCUAUAAAAAGCAGUAAAACUGUACUAUGAUUUGGUAGAAAAACCCUAAAUAAUCAAAAAUACUAAAUUUGGCAGAAAUAGCAGAAACACUAUAUUUAGCACAAAUCUUAUGAAAUAGCAGAAAUAGUAUGAUUUAGCAGAAAAGCUGUAUUUAGCUCAAAUCUCAUGAAAUGGCAGAAAUAGUAUAAUUUAGCAGAAAUGCUGUAUUUAGCAGAAAUUCUGAAAAGCAGCAGAAAAGCUAUGACUUAGCACAACAGUAAUAACUUAAAUGGAAAAUUUGGAAAAGCAAAAUGGACAGCUGAAAAAAUCCUGAACAUGCUAAGGGUCCCUCAAAUGUAAUUGUGAAAUGAAAAAAAAAAUCAGCAAAAAAACAGUAUAACAGUCACACAAUCACAAAUAUGGACACAUAUGGAAACACACAUGCACAGAGAGACACACACAGGAUCAAAUUCAGUCAACCAGUCUAAAUAUAUUGAAUCUAAAUCAUACAAUAAGAUGCUCCCAUAAAAACUCUCUCUCGCCCUCUCUUUCUCUCUCUCUCUGUCACACACACACACACACACACACACACACACACACAGGGAGAGAGAAGCAAGUUUCUAGGUCAGUCAAGCAGCCUGGGAGCUGCUGAAUUUGAAUCCACCAAUCAGAGAGGCUGUGUGCUUUUUCCCGCCAAAACAGGUGCACGCAGCACAGAGAGACACAGGAUUUUUGCAGUCUAUUUCUCAUAGUGAGGACUCCCCUCAAACAAAUGACCAUAAUUUCCUAACCGUAGGGGCUAGAACGGUCAUUCUUACACCGUUUUGUUCAGAAGAGAUGGGGGAAUCUUAAAGUGUUGACAAUUUAUCAUUAAAAUAUGAAUUAUUAAAGAUAUUUGACUUGUAAUGCACCAUAACUGAGUAGAGGCGAAGCAAAAACUGCCUUGACCUGCCCUCAAACAACGCUUUCUAACUCUAAAUCUAUUUGGAGUAUCGAUAUCAUUCUUUCACCGUAAGAGUCAGCAGGCUUUGGUGAACAGUCAUGGAAAUUUUCAGGUCUGUGUGGAAAUCCAUCAAAAAGAUAUGACGAGAGAAAAAAGUGCCUCAUUUCCAGAGUUUGAAAUCUGAAGAAAUCUGAGCGAAGGACGAAUUUCCUACCCUCAAACAAGUCUAACUCAUCUCAGAACAGUAAUAGGUGAGAAAAUAAUUCUUGAAUUGUGAGCGUCAUGAGUGUCUGAAGAUAUACGGGGACAAGCCUCAUGUCUUAACUUCGCUUCGUUAAGGAGAUAUGACGAUUCGAAAAUGCCUCUCAUUAUAGAAAUUAAGCGGUGAUUUUGAUCAAACUCUCCAUUGACUUUCUAUGGAGAGUUUUUCGACUUUGUGUUGGUCUGAGGAGAUUUGCCAAAAUUCUAUAAAUCCCACAACAAUGAUAGUGACAUUUUCUGAAAGCCAGCAAAAAUACCUACGUUUUGAUGUAUAAUUUGUGGGAGUUGAGUGAAAAUUAAUCAAGUAGCAAGAAGUUGUUCGGACAUGAAGAGAAAAUUGCCAAAGGUACAGUGGCUCACUUAGAACCAACUGCAUAGCAACCAUAACAACGCAUGUAUUUUGUGAAAAAUCACAAAGAUGAAACUCAAAACUUAAAGAGGGAUAAGAUGAAAACGGUAACAGAUAUGAAAAAGCUGAAUCAUUCAUGAAUAGCCCAAUAAUUUGUGAACAUUUUAAAGUUUGAAUGGUUGUUCUAGGCGAAAGUAUGAGAAAGUAGUUAAGUUUCAAAAACGAGCAAGUUUUAGCAGAAUUGCAGAAAUUUCCCAUUCAUUUCAAUGGGACAAAUUAAAGGAAAAAAGCUUAAUAUUUUAAAAAGUAUAACAGCAAAAAAUACCAAAAGUCAUAGCACACAUUAGCAGAAAUAGCAGAAUAGUUUAAAAUUUGAACGGUGAAAAUCGGCUGAAAAUUGUGAAAGUAGUUAAGUGCCAAAAAACGUACAAAAAGUGGCAACUGGAAUAAUAAAGAAUAAAGAGAAACAGGAACUCAAUAGUGUGGAUGCCUAAAGCAUCCACACAAUAAUAAUAAAGAAUAAAGAGAAACAGGAACUCAAUAGUGUGGAUGCCUAAAGCAUCCACACAAUAAAGAAUAAAGAGAAACAGGAACUCAAUAGUGUGGAUGCAUAAAGCAUCCACACAAUUAGCUCUGACUAUGAGAUAAAGGAGAACAACAGCCUGAUACCUGCAGGCCUGACAACAGGAGAUGUAUCACUCCUGUAACACCUGUAACAUUCAGCAGUCGCCUCAUUGUUCUGACACACAACAAAACUAUUGACUACACUACACACUAACUACACAAGAUUUGUCGCAAAUCUCUCACAUCUCAAACACCGCCGUCACUCCUAAAACUUUCCCCUUCCUAAACAACUAAAUGCCAUGUUGCCAUAUCAUUUUUGGAUUGGUCAACAUGGUACAUUUCUCCACCAAUAGGAAAGGGUGGUGUUUUUUUGGUUUUGUUUUUGCACACAGGCUUUCGAGCGUUUUCCUUAUAAAACGCCGUUUUUACCGUUUCUUCCUGCAGUAAAUAUAAACAACAAUAGUAUUCAGGAAGAAAACCAAACAUUGCAGAUAUUUUUAUCGUAACUCUGGUUUUACGUGGCCUAUCAACACAAUUUAAAAACUGGUAUAAAGUCCACACUUUUUCCGUCAAUUGUUCCGUCUGUCCUGCUCACAUCUCCAAUGGUUGUACAUGUUGUCAUUCACGUGGCUUCACUCCACAUCAGCCACGCCGCUUUGCUAGCUAAAACUCCGGUGUCGGCACAUAAGGACGCUGUCAUAGCCUGUCAACCACGUUGAUUGGCUGCGUAUAUACGAAUGUGGAUCGCAUUAUUGGCUGGACUAUGAGAUAAGGUGGCAUCGUUCUAAUCCCAUACAGGAGCAGCCAGUCACUUACUGACUAACACUGCAAAACAGAAUUGUUGAAGUUUUAAUUUUAAUUUCAAUUCAGGUUAGAUUUUUUUUGGUGCACAACGCAGGUUUUCUGUGCGCAGAGACCGUGCCAGCUGUGCGCAAUUGCGCACGUGCACAGCUUAGAGGGAACAUUGCUCACCACUAUUGUUCUCCCUCUACACCAGUGACUGCACCUCCAAGAACUCGGCUGUUAAACUCCUAAAGUUUGCAGAUGACACCACCGUCAUUGGCCUCAUUCAGGAUGGUGAUGAGUCUGCGUACAGGCAGGAAGUUGAGCAGCUGAUACUCUGGUGCAGUCACGCACAAUCUGGAGCUGAACAUGCUUAAGACUGUAGAGAUGACAGUGGACUUCAAGAGACAUCCCUCAACACUACCAUAUCAGACAGCCCUGUGUCAACUGUGAAGAUCUUCAAGUUCCUGGGUACCACCAUCUCCCAGGACCUGAAGUGGGAGACCAACAUCAACUCCAUCCUCAAAAAGUAUUGUGUUGCUUACAUUGUUGAGAUAUACAUCGCUGUGCUUCAGAUUCACCAUGUACCGGAACCAGAUUCCUUGUAUGUGUCUGUGCAUAUACACGGCCACUAAAUGUGAUUCUGAUUCUGAUUCU
Oreochromis niloticus (Nile tilapia) is the source of this 4433-nucleotide long non-coding RNA. NCBI's taxonomy places the organism in Eukaryota, Metazoa, Chordata, Actinopteri, Cichliformes, Cichlidae. The record is from Ensembl.